RNAcentral lists this ribosomal RNA (552 nucleotides) under Escherichia coli. RNAcentral describes it as "bacterial SSU rRNA". It matches the Rfam family "Bacterial small subunit ribosomal RNA", at positions 993 to 1533 of the family's 1533-position model. Lineage: Bacteria; Pseudomonadati; Pseudomonadota; Gammaproteobacteria; Enterobacterales; Enterobacteriaceae. The record is from RNAcentral.
GAACUUUCCAGAGAUGGAUUGGUGCCUUCGGGAACUGUGAGACAGGUGCUGCAUGGCUGUCGUCAGCUCGUGUUGUGAAAUGUUGGGUUAAGUCCCGCAACGAGCGCAACCCUUAUCCUUUGUUGCCAGCGGUCCGGCCGGGAACUCAAAGGAGACUGCCAGUGAUAAACUGGAGGAAGGUGGGGAUGACGUCAAGUCAUCAUGGCCCUUACGACCAGGGCUACACACGUGCUACAAUGGCGCAUACAAAGAGAAGCGACCUCGCGAGAGCAAGCGGACCUCAUAAAGUGCGUCGUAGUCCGGAUUGGAGUCUGCAACUCGACUCCAUGAAGUCGGAAUCGCUAGUAAUCGUGGAUCAGAAUGCCACGGUGAAUACGUUCCCGGGCCUUGUACACACCGCCCGUCACACCAUGGGAGUGGGUUGCAAAAGAAGUAGGUAGCUUAACCUUCGGGAGGGCACUUACCACUUUGUGAUUCAUGACUGGGGUGAAGUCGUAACAAGGUAACCGUAGGGGAACCUGCGGUUGGAUCACCUCCUUACCUUAAAGAAGC